Synchiropus splendidus (mandarinfish) is the source of this 1029-nucleotide long non-coding RNA. RefSeq lists it as uncharacterized. The transcript has 4 exons. Lineage: Eukaryota; Metazoa; Chordata; Actinopteri; Syngnathiformes; Callionymidae. The record is from RefSeq and is a predicted model, not a curated record.
AUUCUCAGCAGGGAACUUUCAUGGCAGCGCUUAUGAAACUUUCUUUGUUACACAAUGAAUGCUGGAGAUAAUACUUGUGGCUGGCAUGAAAAGGAAUCAGUCAGUGCUUUAUGAGUUGACUCAAACUUGACAGUUGAAUUGCACAGCCUCGUCAUGCGCUCAUCCUUACUUUUUUCUACACUGACCCCAUGAUGACUCCUCGUCUUCUGGUUGACGAUUUCAGACGCAGCAACUAGGUCUGGAUCAGAUCUGGGCUAAGUGCGGCCCCAGGGCCACGAGCGGCCCUCUGCCUGCAUCUAUUCGGCCUAUAUGAGGUCAGAUGGAAACUCUGAGCCUGGCCUUGUGGAAAUGUUACCAUUUUGUCAUUUCCAUUGAUUUUCUUCCACUUUUCUGAGGUCAAGCUGGAGGGGGAGCAACCACAGUGAAGGUGCCGAAACAUCCCUCUUAGGUGGAACCUGCAAGUCCCAGAGGGUGCCCACGUUUGCCAUGAGACGUCAUCUUUUUGAUCUUUAAAGAGCAACUAAUCUCCAAAUCCAACUUUCCUUUGUUGUACUCCUCCUCUCCAUGAUACAGUUUUAAAAACAGAUCCAGGGCUUCAAAAUGAGCUCCGAGGCCGACGCCAGCAUGACAUCAUCAAGUCUAAAAAUGGAAAAGGGCUCUUUGAAGAACAACAGAUUCCAGCUAAGACGAUUAGCUCAGCGUCUGAGCCUUCGUCGUCCAAUGACAAUAGCCAACUGCUGGAGCCGAACUAUGACGGUGGGAGAAGGUGAAAUGAUGGUGAUGAUCUGUCUGGAGAGGCCGUCGAGGCAAGAAAGAAGACUCAGUGAGGCCAAGGGAAGGAAUUUAUGGCACACACAAGUGUUAACAUGAGCCUCACCAGCCUCUGUUUUAACACAGUUAAUCUGAGGAAUGACCUCAUUGGUUUCUGCCGUGCUUGAGCCUGAGGGAGAGUAACUCUGAUCUCCUGAGUCGUGCAAAGUGUAAUAACACCCAGCGUGUUUAUAGAUUUAAUAAAACUUUCACUCCUUU